RNAcentral lists this ribosomal RNA (527 nucleotides) under uncultured bacterium. Its description in RNAcentral is "partial 16S ribosomal RNA". It matches the Rfam family "Bacterial small subunit ribosomal RNA", at positions 28 to 523 of the family's 1533-position model. The record is from RNAcentral.
GACGAACGCUGGCGGCGUGCCUAAUACAUGCAAGUCGAACGAGAAUUUUUUACACCGAGUGCUUGCACUCACCGUAAGAAAUUCGAGUGGCGGACGGGUGAGUAACACGUGGGUAACCUGCCCAAAAGAAGGGGAUAACAUUUGGAAACAAAUGCUAAUACCGUAUAACCAUGAUGACCGCAUGGUCAUUAUGUAAAAGGUGGUUUUGCUAUCGCUUUUGGAUGGACCCGCGGCGUAUUAACUAGUUGGUAGGGUAACGGCCUACCAAGGUGAUGAUACGUAGCCGAGUUGAGAGACUGAUCGGCCACAAUGGGACUGAGGCACGGCCCAUACUCCUACGGGAGGCAGCAGUAGGGAAUCUUCCACAAUGGGCGCAAGCCUGAUGGAGCAACGCCGCGUGAAUGAAGAAGGUCUUCGGAUCGUAAAAUUCUGUUGUUAGAGAAGAAUAUGAGUAAUAGUAACUGAUUAUUCACUGACGGUAUCUAACCAGCAAGUCACGGCUAACUACGUGCCAGCAGCCGCCGUAA